AUUGAACGCUGGCGGCAGGCUUAACACAUGCAAGUCGAGCGGGCGAGGUUGCUUCGGUAACUGAGCUAGCGGCGGACGGGUGAGUAAUGCUUAGGAAUCUGCCUAUUAGUGGGGGACAACAUUCCGAAAGGGAUGCUAAUACCGCAUACGUCCUACGGGAGAAAGCAGGGGCUCUUUAUGACCUUGCGCUAAUAGAUGAGCCUAAGUCGGAUUAGCUAGUUGGUGGGGUAAAGGCCUACCAAGGCGACGAUCUGUAGCGGGUCUGAGAGGAUGAUCCGCCACACUGGGACUGAGACACGGCCCAGACUCCUACGGGAGGCAGCAGUGGGGAAUAUUGGACAAUGGGGGGAACCCUGAUCCAGCCAUGCCGCGUGUGUGAAGAAGGCCUUUUGGUUGUAAAGCACUUUAAGUGGGGAGGAGGGCUUACCUGGUUAAUACCUGGGCUAAGUGGACGUUACCCACAGAAUAAGCACCGGCUAACUCUGUGCCAGCAGCCGCGGUAAU
This 504-nucleotide ribosomal RNA is filed under the name uncultured bacterium. Its description in RNAcentral is "bacterial SSU rRNA". It matches the Rfam family "Bacterial small subunit ribosomal RNA", at positions 30 to 524 of the family's 1533-position model. The record is from RNAcentral.